CAGCCGCCGCGGUAAUACGUAGGGUGCAAGCGUUAAUCGGAAUUACUGGGCGUAAAGCGUGCGCAGGCGGUCCGCUAAGACAGAUGUGAAAUCCCCGGGCUUAACCUGGGAACUGCAUUUGUGACUGGCGGGCUAGAGUAUGGCAGAGGGGGGUAGAAUUCCACGUGUAGCAGUGAAAUGCGUAGAGAUGUGGAGGAAUACCGAUGGCGAAGGCAGCCCCCUGGGCCAAUACUGACGCUAAGGCGCGAAAGCUAGGGGAGCAAACAGGAUUAGAUACCCCUGUAGUCCCUGUCUCUUAUAC
RNAcentral lists this ribosomal RNA (301 nucleotides) under uncultured bacterium. RNAcentral describes it as "partial 16S ribosomal RNA". It matches the Rfam family "Bacterial small subunit ribosomal RNA", at positions 509 to 807 of the family's 1533-position model. The record is from RNAcentral.